This 838-nucleotide ribosomal RNA is filed under the name uncultured soil archaeon. Its description in RNAcentral is "bacterial SSU rRNA". It matches the Rfam family "Archaeal small subunit ribosomal RNA", at positions 21 to 859 of the family's 1478-position model. The record is from RNAcentral.
AGGUUACUGCUAUCGGUGUUCGCCUAAGCCAUGCGAGUCGUAUGUUCGUAAGAACAUGGCGUACUGCUCAGUAACACGUGGAUAACCUGCCCUUGGGUCCGGCAUAACCCCGGGAAACUGGGGAUAAUUCCGGAUAACGCACAUAUGCUGGAAUGCUUUUUGCGUAAAAUGGAUUCGUCUGCCCAAGGAUGGGUCUGCGGCCUAUCAGGUAGUAGUGGGUGUAAUGUACCUACUAGCCUACGACGGGUACGGGUUGUGAGAGCAAGAGCCCGGAGAUGGAUUCUGAGACAUGAAUCCAGGCCCUACGGGGCGCAGCAGGCGCGAAAACUUUACAAUGCGGGAAACCGUGAUAAGGGGACACCGAGUGCCAGCAUCCUAUGCUGGCUGUCCGGGUGUGUAAAAUACACCUGUUAGCAAGGGCCGGGCAAGACCGGUGCCAGCCGCCGCGGUAACACCGGCGGCCCGAGUGGUGAUCGUGAUUAUUGGGUCUAAAGGGUCCGUAGCCGGUUUGGUCAGUCCUCCGGGAAAUCUGACAGCUCAACUGUUAGGCUAUCGGAGGAUACUGCCAGACUUGGAACCGGGAGAGGUAAGAGGUACUACAGGGGUAGGAGUGAAAUCUUGUAAUCCCUGUGGGACCACCUGUGGCGAAGGCGUCUUACCAGAACGGGUUCGACGGUGAGGGACGAAAGCUGGGGGCACGAACCGGAUUAGAUACCCGGGUAGUCCCAGCCGUAAACGAUGCUCGCUAGGUGUCAGGCAUGGCGCGACCGUGUCUGGUGCCGCAGGGAAGCCGUGAAGCGAGCCACCUGGGAAGUACGGCCGCAAGGCUGAAACUUAA